GAUCCUGGCUCAGGAUGAACGCUAGCUACAGGCUUAACACAUGCAAGUCGAGGGGAAACGAUAUUGGAAGCUUGCUUCCGAUAGGCGUCGACCGGCGCACGGGUGAGUAACGCGUAUCCAACCUGCCCGUCACUUGGGAAUAACCUUGCGAAAGUAAGACUAAUGCCCAAUGACAUUUAUAGAAGGCAUCUGAAAUGAAUUAAAGAUUUAUCGGUGAUGGAUGGGGAUGCGUCUGAUUAGCUAGUUGGCGGGGUAACGGCCCACCAAGGCGACGAUCGGUAGGGGUUCUGAGAGGAAGGUCCCCCACAUUGGAACUGAGACACGGUCCAAACUCCUACGGGAGGCAGCAGUGAGGAAUAUUGGUCAAUGGACGCAAGUCUGAACCAGCCAAGUAGCGUGCAGGAUGACGGCCCUAUGGGUUGUAAACUGCUUUUAUGCGGGGAUAAAGUUAGGGAUGUAUCCCUUUUUGCAGGUACCGCAUGAAUAAGGACCGGCUAAUUCCGUG
RNAcentral lists this ribosomal RNA (505 nucleotides) under uncultured bacterium. Its description in RNAcentral is "bacterial SSU rRNA". It matches the Rfam family "Bacterial small subunit ribosomal RNA", at positions 15 to 507 of the family's 1533-position model. The record is from RNAcentral.